CAUGAAGAGACCACCAUCGGUCUUUUAACCUUGCCCAUCGUACCCUUGUGUUGUUCCCUCGGUGCGACGCGUGCGUCCGCCGGCGGGAAGCUCAACAAAACCUUUGCAACAUAGCAUCCAAAAAGCUCUGAUAAUAAAACCUAAUUGUCA
This 150-nucleotide unclassified non-coding RNA is filed under the name uncultured fungus. RNAcentral's name for it is "sequence contains ITS1". The record is from RNAcentral. Lineage: Eukaryota; Fungi.